Molecule: long non-coding RNA, 1360 nt
Filed under: Homo sapiens (human)
Lineage: Eukaryota; Metazoa; Chordata; Mammalia; Primates; Hominidae
Description: non-protein coding lnc-SNN-6:1
Source: RNAcentral
GGGCCUCGCCUGGGCCGCGGCCUGAGCAGAAGCGCUAGGAGGUAGAACAGCGUCCAGCGGGGAGAGGAGCUAGAGUCGGCAUCGGGAAGCCCACCCUGGAGCCUGCUUAGCUUGACGAGCCCUCAACCGGGGCGCCCUGCUCUGCGAAGAGUAACCCUGCAUCCUCAGAACAACCGUGAUUGUCUUCAUUCCUACAUAUGAGGAACGGAGGCGCGGAGCCCCACGGCAGCCGGGGAUCCAAAGACAGCCUCCCUCCAGUUCCAUCUGCCGGCUCUUGGAAGGCCUGGAUCCCUGUCCUUCAGGGCCCAGCCCAAAUGCCGCCUCGUCCAUCUGCAUUUUACGGCCAGGUGCCCCGCUGCGGGCACGGCUUCUUGUAAAAUGCUCAGCUCAGCAGUGGGCGAGGCAGGGUCCCUGCCCCAUGGGAUGGAGGGCGGAGAUCAGGACCCACAAGAGCCCAAAGAAGACCAUUUUGGUCGGUGAAGACCAAAGAAAUUCAAGCAGGAGGAUGUGACAGGAGCUUUUGGGAAAGCCUCUGAGGAGGUGACAGCCAUGCAACCGUGUUCGGGGAAGUGUGCCGCAGGCAGAGGGGAAAUGAGUGCAAAAGCCCUGAAGCUGGAGUUCGGUGUCUGGAUAACAGGAAAGGCCUGCAUAGCUGAUGUGUGCCAGAGGGGAGAAAGAUCUGUGACACAGGGGGGCCGCCAUGUUUAAUUUGGAGUUUUGUGUGGAAGGGGGUCAUUCAUUGAGUCUGAAUUGGGAGUUCCGAGGUCUCAUUUAUAUUUUAGAAAGUUCUCUCCUGCUACUAUGCAGAGAUUGGGCUGUAGGAGAGACAAGAGGGGAAGUGGGGACUCUAGCUACAGUAGCUCUUCCAGGGGUCUGGGUGACGUAGAUUUACAAACCAGAGUAUUAGCUCAGGCUGCCAUGACAAAAUACCCCAGACCAGGCAGCUUAGACAACAGGAAUUUAUUUUCUCACAGUUUUAGAGGCUGCAAAUCUAAGGUCUGGGUGCCGGCAGGGCUGGUUUCUGGUGAGGCCUCUCUCCCUGGCUUGCAAACAGCUGCCUUCUCACUGUGUCCUCCUAUGACCUUUUCUCUGUGAGCAGGAAUCCCUGGUGUGUCUUCCUUUUUCUUACAAGAACAACAAUUUUACUAGAUUAGGGCCCCACCCUAUGACUUCAUUUAACCCCAGUGACUACCUAAAAGGCCGUAUUCAAAUAGUCGUAUUAGGCCAGGCGCAGUGGCUCACGCCUGUAAUUCUAGCACUUUGGGAAGCCGAGGCAGAUGGAUUGCCUGAGCUCAGGAGUUGGAGACCAGCCUGGGCAACACAAUGAGACCCCGUCUUUACUAAAAUACAAAAAAUUAGC